UGAAGCUUCCCUUAGCCUGUGUUGUUUAAAAGAAGCAAGUGGUGAGGAAGAAGCUAGCGAAAGCGAUGUGAUAGACAGACUGAGGGAGUGGAAGCCUGGAGCAGAUACCUACUUAUAUAAACACGAGAACCAGCACUCAGAGGAAGACGAGAGGCUAAGCUUGUAUAGUUGUAUGAGAGGAGGAGGUACUCGUACUCAUUUGGUAUAUGGGCGGGCUAGCUGUUGUGUUGCUGGUUGCUACCAGCACUCACAUGGAUCUCACUCGCAUCACGGCCUGCUGUCCUGUCCUCAGAGGCACGAGAAGGUAAUAACAGGAGGAGCAGUAAAGCAGAGCAAGGUACGCUAGUACAGUACAGCUGGGUUGGUUGGGAGGCUACAUUGCAUUCGCAUUGAGCUGCGCUGUCAGAGAUUAUAUUUACUUACCGGGUGUUGAAAGCAGGCUCAAUGCUAGACAGUAGUUUACUCCAUACUGGCAUCCUCCAAUCCAUGACACGCAGCUGCGUCCGCGGUGUUGAAGGAAGAAGAGCUGUUGGUGCCAGAGCAAUCUGAAGCUGCUGCUGCUGCAGCAGCUAUGGCCUUGUCCGACCCCUGCUCUGCGUCCAGGCGUUGGCGGUUGGCGUCAGAUUCGGACGAGGUAUGAGCUGUGGAUCUGUGAUGCAUAUGCAUGCCGUGCAAGCAAGACAGGAACCGAACAACCAAACCUGGCAGCAUUCAUCAUAUGCUAUGUAAGGUUCGGUGGAGCAGCCUGCAGCGUGCAGGUACGCUGGUGCUGCAAAUGUGGAAAGGGAAUUGCAUUGCAUCCGUCCGUGAGAAUAAUUGAAUAAAGAGGAGAGAGCCUCGCCCUUGAUGUACGACGAUCGCACUGUGCACCUACUAGGGUCUAGGUAAGUACGUACGCUUUUCUUGCCUUGCUUAGACUUCACUUUUUUUCUUUUUCUUUAGCCAAUGUCAUGCACUACUACUCUCUUCUGAUUCAGUACCUUUUUGGGCCUUGGUGGGCCGACCUAA
Molecule: long non-coding RNA, 1008 nt
Organism: Setaria italica (foxtail millet)
Lineage: Eukaryota; Viridiplantae; Streptophyta; Magnoliopsida; Poales; Poaceae
Exons: 3
Source: RefSeq, a predicted model, not a curated record